ACGGGGUGCAGCAGGCGCGAAAACUUUACAAUGCGAGCAAUCGUGAUAAGGAAACCCUGAGUGCCUGUCAAUGCAGGCUGUUCUGGUGUCUAACACCCACCAGGAGAAAGGGCGGGGCAAGACCGGUGCCAGCCGCCGCGGUAAUACCGGCUGCUCGAGUGAUAGCCGCUUUUACUGGGCUUAAAGCGUUCGUAGCUUGUCGUUAAGUCUCUGGGGAAAUCUUCUGGCUCAACCAGAAGGCGUCUCAGGGAAACUGGCGAUCUAGGAACCGGGAGAGGUGAGACGUACUUCGGGGGUAGGAGUGAAAUCUUGUAAUCCCCGAGGGACGACCGAUGGCGAAGGCAUCUCACCAGAACGGCUUCGACAGUGAGGGACGAAAGCUGGGGGAGCAAACCGGAUUAGAUACCCGGGUAGUCCCAGCCGUAAACGAUGUGCGUUAGGUGUGUCGGUGACCACGAGUCGCCGAGGUGCCGAAGGGAAACCGUGAAGCGCACCGCCUGGGAAGUACGGUCGCAAGGCUGAAACUUAGAGGAAUUGGCGGGGGAGCA
Molecule: ribosomal RNA, 548 nt
Filed under: uncultured archaeon
Lineage: Archaea
Description: bacterial SSU rRNA
Rfam family: Archaeal small subunit ribosomal RNA
Source: RNAcentral